RNAcentral lists this ribosomal RNA (462 nucleotides) under uncultured bacterium. RNAcentral's name for it is "bacterial SSU rRNA". It matches the Rfam family "Bacterial small subunit ribosomal RNA", at positions 43 to 501 of the family's 1533-position model. The record is from RNAcentral.
CAGGCCUAACACAUGCAAGUCGAACGGCAGCACGGACUUCGGUCUGGUGGCGAGUGGCGAACGGGUGAGUAAUGCAUCGGAACGUGCCCAAUCGUGGGGGAUAACGUAGCGAAAGUUACGCUAAUACCGCAUACGAUCUAAGGAUGAAAGCGGGGGAUCGCAAGACCUCGCGCGAAUGGAGCGGCCGAUGUUAGAUUAGGUAGUUGGUGGGGUAAAGGCUCACCAAGCCGACGAUCUAUAGCUGGUCUGAGAGGAUGAUCAGCCACACUGGGACUGAGACACGGCCCAGACUCCUACGGGAGGCAGCAGUGGGGAAUUUUGGACAAUGGGCGCAAGCCUGAUCCAGCCAUUCCGCGUGCAGGAUGAAGGCCCUCGGGUUGUAAACUGCUUUUGUACAGAACGAAAAGCUCUGGGUUAAUACCCUGGGGUCAUGACGGUACUGUAAGAAUAGCACCGGCUACU